Subdoligranulum sp. 4_3_54A2FAA is the source of this 97-nucleotide non-coding RNA. The record is from Rfam. NCBI's taxonomy places the organism in Bacteria, Bacillati, Bacillota, Clostridia, Eubacteriales, Oscillospiraceae.
GCGAGCCGGAUACAUCGAGAGGUGUACGUCCGGUUCUGGGAGGGGUUUGGGCAAACCUACGGCAGUAAUGCCGCAAGGCGGCUCAUUCCUACUCUAC